RNAcentral lists this ribosomal RNA (1530 nucleotides) under Shigella boydii 5216-82. RNAcentral describes it as "bacterial SSU rRNA". It matches the Rfam family "Bacterial small subunit ribosomal RNA". The record is from RNAcentral. Lineage: Bacteria; Pseudomonadati; Pseudomonadota; Gammaproteobacteria; Enterobacterales; Enterobacteriaceae.
AGAGUUUGAUCAUGGCUCAGAUUGAACGCUGGCGGCAGGCCUAACACAUGCAAGUCGAACGGUAACAGGAAGAAGCUUGCUUCUUUGCUGACGAGUGGCGGACGGGUGAGUAAUGUCUGGGAAACUGCCUGAUGGAGGGGGAUAACUACUGGAAACGGUAGCUAAUACCGCAUAACGUCGCAAGACCAAAGAGGGGGACCUUCGGGCCUCUUGCCAUCGGAUGUGCCCAGAUGGGAUUAGCUAGUAGGUGAGGUAACGGCUCACCUAGGCGACGAUCCCUAGCUGGUCUGAGAGGAUGACCAGCCACACUGGAACUGAGACACGGUCCAGACUCCUACGGGAGGCAGCAGUGGGGAAUAUUGCACAAUGGGCGCAAGCCUGAUGCAGCCAUGCCGCGUGUAUGAAGAAGGCCUUCGGGUUGUAAAGUACUUUCAGCGGGGAGGAAGGGAGUAAAGUUAAUACCUUUGCUCAUUGACGUUACCCGCAGAAGAAGCACCGGCUAACUCCGUGCCAGCAGCCGCGGUAAUACGGAGGGUGCAAGCGUUAAUCGGAAUUACUGGGCGUAAAGCGCACGCAGGCGGUUUGUUAAGUCAGAUGUGAAAUCCCCGGGCUCAACCUGGGAACUGCAUCUGAUACUGGCAAGCUUGAGUCUCGUAGAGGGGGGUAGAAUUCCAGGUGUAGCGGUGAAAUGCGUAGAGAUCUGGAGGAAUACCGGUGGCGAAGGCGGCCCCCUGGACGAAGACUGACGCUCAGGUGCGAAAGCGUGGGGAGCAAACAGGAUUAGAUACCCUGGUAGUCCACGCCGUAAACGAUGUCGACUUGGAGGUUGUGCCCUUGAGGCGUGGCUUCCGGAGCUAACGCGUUAAGUCGACCGCCUGGGGAGUACGGCCGCAAGGUUAAAACUCAAAUGAAUUGACGGGGGCCCGCACAAGCGGUGGAGCAUGUGGUUUAAUUCGAUGCAACGCGAAGAACCUUACCUGGUCUUGACAUCCACGGAAGUUUUCAGAGAUGAGAAUGUGCCUUCGGGAACCGUGAGACAGGUGCUGCAUGGCUGUCGUCAGCUCGUGUUGUGAAAUGUUGGGUUAAGUCCCGCAACGAGCGCAACCCUUAUCCUUUGUUGCCAGCGGUCCGGCCGGGAACUCAAAGGAGACUGCCAGUGAUAAACUGGAGGAAGGUGGGGAUGACGUCAAGUCAUCAUGGCCCUUACGACCAGGGCUACACACGUGCUACAAUGGCGCAUACAAAGAGAAGCGACCUCGCGAGAGCAAGCGGACCUCAUAAAGUGCGUCGUAGUCCGGAUUGGAGUCUGCAACUCGACUCCAUGAAGUCGGAAUCGCUAGUAAUCGUGGAUCAGAAUGCCACGGUGAAUACGUUCCCGGGCCUUGUACACACCGCCCGUCACACCAUGGGAGUGGGUUGCAAAAGAAGUAGGUAGCUUAACCUUCGGGAGGGCGCUUACCACUUUGUGAUUCAUGACUGGGGUGAAGUCGUAACAAGGUAACCGUAGGGGAACCUGCGGUUGGAUCACCU